AACCCUCGUUAAGGAACUCGGCAAAAUAUAUCCGUAACUUCGGGAAAAGGAUAGCCUGUAGUCAGUGAAGUGCAGAAGCGCACGGAGCUAAGGCAGGCGGCAGAAGAGAGGCCCAAGCGACUGUUUACCACAAACACAGGCGUCUGCUAAAGGGAAACCUGACGUAUAGAUGCUGACACCUGCCCGGUGCUGGAAGGUUAAGAGGACUUGUUAGCGCAAGCGAAGCAGAGAAUUGAAGCCCCAGUAAACGGCGGCCGUAACUAUAACGGUCCUAAGGUAGCGAAAUUCCUUGUCGGGUAAGUUCCGACCCGCACGAAAGGUGUAACGAUUUGGGCACUGUCUCAACGAGGGACCCGGUGAAAUUGAAGUACCUGUGAAGAUGCAGGUUACCCGCGACUGGACAGAAAGACCCCAUGGAGCUUUACUGUAACCUGAGAUUGAAUUCUGGUAGGAGAUGUACAGGAUAGUUGGGAGGCGGAGAAGCGAGUACGCCAGUAUUCGCGGAGCCGAUGGUGGGAUACCAACCUUGUUUUAUUGGAAUUCUAACGAGAAGCGUAACGAGCUUGCGGACAGUCUCAGGCGGGCAGUUUGACUGGGGCGGUCGCCUCCGAAAGAGCAACGGAGGCGCCCAAAGGUUCCCUCAGUGCGGACGGAAACCGCACGAAGAGUGCAAAGGCAGAAGGGAGCUUGACUGCGAGACGGACAGGUCGAGCAGGGACGAAAGUCGGGCUUAGUGAUCCGGUGGCAUAGAGUGGAAUAGCCAUCGCUCAACGGAUAAAAGCUACCCUGGGGAUAACAGGCUUAUCUCUCCCAAGAGUCCAUAUCGACGGGGAGGUUUGGCACCUCGAUGUCGGCUCAUCACAUCCUGGGGCUGAAGUAGGUCCCAAGGGUUGGGCUGUUCGCCCAUUAAAGUGGUACGCGAGCUGGGUUCAGAACGUCGUGAGACAGUUCGGUCCCUAUCCAUCGCGGGCGGAAGAAACUUGAAAGGGGCUGCUCCUAGUACGAGAGGACCGGAGUGGACCGACCAAUGGUGUACCAGUCAUGACGCCAGUUGUGCAGCUGGGUAGCUACGUCGGGGACGGAUAAACGCUGAAAGCAUCUAAGCGUGAAACCAGCCUAGAGAUGAGGUUUCUCAUUACGCAAGUAAGUAAGGUCCCACAGAGACGAUGUGGUAGAUAGGCCGGGAGUGGAAGUACAGUGAUGUACGGAGCGGACCGGUACUAAUAGACCGAGGACUUGACUUAA
This 1245-nucleotide ribosomal RNA is filed under the name Megasphaera hexanoica. Its description in RNAcentral is "partial 23S ribosomal RNA". It matches the Rfam family "Bacterial large subunit ribosomal RNA", at positions 1697 to 2925 of the family's 2925-position model. The record is from RNAcentral. Lineage: Bacteria; Bacillati; Bacillota; Negativicutes; Veillonellales; Veillonellaceae.